UUACGGAAGGCAGCAGUGAGGAAUUUUCCACAAUGGGCGAAAGCCUGAUGGAGCAACGCCGCGUGCAGGAUGAAGGCCUUCGGGUCGUAAACUGCUUUUAUGUGCGAAGAAUAUGACGGUAACACAUGAAUAAGGGUCGGCUAACUACGUGCCAGCAGCCGCGGUCAUACGUAGGACCCAAGCGUUAUCCGGAUUUACUGGGCGUAAAGAGUUGCGUAGGUGGUUUAUUAAGUGGAGCGUGAAAGCGUGUGGCUCAACCAUACAGCUGCGUUCCAAACUGAUUAACUUGAGUAUGAGAGGGGUAGAUGGAAUUUCUAGUGUAGGAGUGAAAUCCGUAGAUAUUAGAAGGAACACCGAUAGCGUAGGCAGUCUACUGGCUCAUUACUGACACUAAGGCACGAAAGCGUGGGGAGCAAACGGGAUUAGAUACCCGAGUAGUCU
Molecule: ribosomal RNA, 441 nt
Filed under: uncultured bacterium
Lineage: Bacteria
Description: bacterial SSU rRNA
Rfam family: Bacterial small subunit ribosomal RNA
Source: RNAcentral